UCUCUGGUCGUAUAUCGGUUAGUACACGCGCUUGUCAUCCAGUACGGAUCGCGCGAAAGCGGGGUUCGACUCCCCGCCAGAGAG
RNAcentral lists this transfer RNA (84 nucleotides) under Trametes versicolor. RNAcentral's name for it is "tRNA-Asp". Lineage: Eukaryota; Fungi; Basidiomycota; Agaricomycetes; Polyporales; Polyporaceae. RNAcentral also lists the same sequence under 1 other name. The record is from RNAcentral.